GACUGCAAGUGGUCAGUACACCCAGGAAGGAUUCAUCACCUGCUGGAGGAAAUUGUGUCCACUGGCACAAGGAAUUGGAUACGGAUAUUUCAUGAUGAAACUUUAUGACUUUAGCUACAUUAUAAUCCAAGUCUGGGCCCUCUUCUAUCUGGUGUUCUCGUUCAGAUCCCAGCUCCCCUGGGCCAGCUGUGACAACACCUGGAAUACAGCUAACUGUCUUGGUCUUCAGAGUUUAAACUCAUCAGAUCUGACUAAAAAUCAGACCAUCACCACUUCUGCUGCAACUGAGUUCUGGGAGUAAGUUUAAGUAAUAUGGAAUUUUAUUUGCUCUGUCAAUCUUUCACUUUUUAUGCAGGACAAUGAGUCCACACUCUGUUUUCUCUACAUCACUGGAAAAAAAUGUUGGUAUAAAGAUGUGUUUGGCUUAUCCCAGAACAUCAUCAAAUAUUUAGAAAUAGUAAAAAGCACAAGAUGUGGAAGAAGUACAAAUACAA
Long non-coding RNA from Monopterus albus (swamp eel), 494 nucleotides. RefSeq lists it as uncharacterized. The transcript has 3 exons. NCBI's taxonomy places the organism in Eukaryota, Metazoa, Chordata, Actinopteri, Synbranchiformes, Synbranchidae. The record is from RefSeq and is a predicted model, not a curated record.